RNAcentral lists this long non-coding RNA (350 nucleotides) under Anas platyrhynchos (mallard). RNAcentral's name for it is "lncRNA (ENSAPLG00020014034.1)". The record is from RNAcentral. Lineage: Eukaryota; Metazoa; Chordata; Aves; Anseriformes; Anatidae.
ACCUCUAUUUUUCCAUUGCAGCUGUGUAGGACAGUCUUUGAAGACAGCUUUAUAAUUGGAGGACGAGGGUUCCCUUAUCACCUGGAAGACUUUGAUGCAUACCCUUGUCUGCCUCAGAAAUCUGAUCUCUAUAAAAAGACUCAUAAGGAAGCACCGUGGUACCAAAGUGAAGCUGAUGUCUUUAAUCUGUUUAAGACGUUGCGCAUGAAAAUAUUAACCAAUACUAAAAUCAAGAAACCAGUUUCAUGUAUAAAACGAGACUUUAAGAAAAAGAUGUUGUCCAGCAAAGACAGUAAAGUUGACAACUAUGUUGGCCAUGCUGAUUCUGUACCUCAGUCAGAUGACACAGA